This 19-nucleotide ribosomal RNA is filed under the name Ilyonectria liriodendri. Its description in RNAcentral is "partial 28S ribosomal RNA". The record is from RNAcentral. Lineage: Eukaryota; Fungi; Ascomycota; Sordariomycetes; Hypocreales; Nectriaceae.
GUGACCUCGGAUCAGUAGA